This is a non-coding RNA of Paraoerskovia marina, 97 nucleotides long. It matches the Rfam family "Bacterial small signal recognition particle RNA". From Rfam's summary of the family: The signal recognition particle (SRP) is a universally conserved ribonucleoprotein involved in the co-translational targeting of proteins to membranes. Archaeal SRP consists of a 7S RNA and homologues of the eukaryotic SRP19 and SRP54 proteins. Lineage: Bacteria; Bacillati; Actinomycetota; Actinomycetes; Micrococcales; Cellulomonadaceae. The record is from Rfam.
GCAGACCCCUCGUACGGCGUUACCUCACUGAACUCCCCCAGGGCCGGAAGGCAGCAAGGGCAGGUGGGCUCUGGCGGGUGUACGGGGGGUCCUUUGC